Molecule: long non-coding RNA, 1150 nt
Filed under: Nicotiana benthamiana
Lineage: Eukaryota; Viridiplantae; Streptophyta; Magnoliopsida; Solanales; Solanaceae
Description: long non-coding RNA (NBEN_LNC037896)
Source: RNAcentral
AGUAAAAAAAUUCUUAUAUCCAAACGAGCUCAAUUUUCAAGAGAUUUUAAGCAAGGAAAACAUAUUUAAUUUUCUUUUAAAUUGCAAAAGAUUAUGUUGAACCAAUUUUUUCAUAGGUUUGAUAUAUUUAUGAAACUCAUAUAGAGGGAAAAAAACAAAAGAAAGGGAGGUAAAAAAGGGAAGUUAUAAGAGAAAAUGGGAAGCAAAUAUUCAGAGGAGAAAAAAGAACAAUAAUUCUAGCUAACCAAAAAACACAUCAUCAACAUCAGCAACAACCAUAAAUUGCUUUUCUCUAAUCCAUCAUCACCCUCCCUCCCUCCCUCUUCUCUCAGUUGGGGCUGUUUUUAGAUUUUGAUCACUGACCCAACUCUGUAAAGUUUCAAUCUUUUUCAUUAUUCCCAUAGUUUUAUUAUCACCCAACUCCUCAAAUUAUCUUAAUGUAAGCUUUUACAACUCAUUUUUAUUUCUAAAUGCUGAUUCUUGAUCUUAUUGGCCCACUUUUUUUUUCUCCUUUUUUUGCUCAAGUUUCUUUCUUGCUCAUUGCAGGUGAAUGUUAUAUGCACAGAUCUUAAUAUGCUUUGACCUAGCUGAAUAGCCCUCAGUCUGUGUGGACCUCAGCUAAAAGAACAAUAGGUAGAGAUUUCAAUCUUUGAUUCAGAAAUUUUGAUGCUUGUCUGCAAUCUGUGCUUUCUUUUUUCACUACUUAGUUCACCAAGAAUAUACCUUUCAUAUUGUUAAAUGAGAGUGAGAAUGUGCAUCAUGUGGAUUUGUUGGUAAUUAACUUUUUGGAUUUAUAGGCUCCCUUCAGUUGCAAUAGGCUGAUCCCUGAAAAAUUUGAAUCCACAGCUGUCUUCUUACUGCUGAGUUGUUUAUAAUACAUAUUACACAUUAUAUCAUGGAAAAAAGAAGGAAAAUGAUUAUGGAACAGGAGUUGAUUUUUUAGCUAUUUUCUCCACGAUACUACAACAACAACAACAACAACCUAGUAUAAUCACACUUAAUGGGGUCUGGGUAGGGUAGUGUGUACGCAGACCUUACCCCUACCCUUGUGUUAUGGACGGCACUAUUUUCGCCCCAAAACAGGCUCAAAACAGCUCCAAAAUGCUUCCGGAACAGUCCAGCGUGCCCCGGAAGGCCCUGGAAGACUCNN